GAAUCUGCCUGGUAGUGGGGGAUAACGUCCGGAAACGGACGCUAAUACCGCAUACGUCCUACGGGAGAAAGCAGGGGACCUUCGGGCCUUGCGCUAUCAGAUGAGCCUAGGUCGGAUUAGCUAGUUGGUGGGGUAAUGGCUCACCAAGGCGACGAUCCGUAACUGGUCUGAGAGGAUGAUCAGUCACACUGGAACUGAGACACGGUCCAGACUCCUACGGGAGGCAGCAGUGGGGAAUAUUGGACAAUGGGCGAAAGCCUGAUCCAGCCAUGCCGCGUGUGUGAAGAAGGUCUUCGGAUUGUAAAGCACUUUAAGUUGGGAGGAAGGGCAGUAAAUUAAUACUUUGCUGUUUUGACGUUACCGACAGAAUAAGCACCGGCUAACUCUGUGCCAGCAGCCGCGGUAAUACAGAGGGUGCAAGCGUUAAUCGGAAUUACUGGGCGUAAAGCGCGCGUAGGUGGUUCGUUAAGUUGGAUGUGAAAUCCCCGGGCUCAACCUGGGAACUGCAUUCAAAACUGACGAGCUAGAGUAUGGUAGAGGGUGGUGGAAUUUCCUGUGUAGCGGUGAAAUGCGUAGAUAUAGGAAGG
This 587-nucleotide ribosomal RNA is filed under the name uncultured bacterium. RNAcentral's name for it is "bacterial SSU rRNA". It matches the Rfam family "Bacterial small subunit ribosomal RNA", at positions 122 to 704 of the family's 1533-position model. The record is from RNAcentral.